RNAcentral lists this ribosomal RNA (1796 nucleotides) under human gut metagenome. RNAcentral describes it as "bacterial LSU rRNA". It matches the Rfam family "Bacterial large subunit ribosomal RNA", at positions 140 to 2032 of the family's 2925-position model. The record is from RNAcentral.
AUACUCUGGUAUCCUGUACUGAAUCCAUAGGUACAGGAGGGGAACCGCCUGAACUGAAACAUCUAAGUAGGGCGAGGAAGAGACAUCAAACGAGAUUCCGUUAGUAGUGGCGAGCGAACGCGGAAGAGGGCAAACCGGAAGGAGAAAUCCUUCCGGGGUAUGGACCGCUUUUAGGACUUUAGCUGUUAAUCGAAUGGCAUGGGAAGGCCAACCAAAGAGUGUGAGAGUCACGUAGAUGAAAACGGCGAGAGCUGCGCGAGUUCCAGAGUACGGCCAGACACGUGAAACCUGGUCGGAAGAUGGGGGGACCACCCUCCAACCCUAAAUACUACCCAGUGACCGAUAGCGUAUAGUACUGUGAAGGAAAGGUGAAAAGGACCCCGGGAGGGGAGUGAAAUAGAACCUGAAACCUUGUGCCUACAAGCACAUAGAGCACAUCAACGUGUGAUAUGGUACUUUUUGUAGAACGGUCCGGCGAGCGAUUGUAUGUUGCGAGCUUAAGGUCUUAAGGACUGGAGGCGUAGCGAGAGCGAGUCUGAAUAGGGCGUUCAGUAACAUGCAAUGGGCCCGAAACCGGGUGACCUACCCAUGAUCAGGCUGAAGUGAAAGUAAAAUUUCAUGGAGGGCCGAACCGACCUCCGUUGAAAAGGCGGCGGAUGAAUUGUGGGUAGCGGAGAAAUUCCAAUCGAACUCGGAGAUAGCUGGUUCUCCCCGAAAUAGCUUUAGGGCUAGCCUCAUGUUAGAUAUCCGGAGGUAAAGCACUGAAUGGCCUAGCGCCCGAGAGGGUAGCGAAGCCUAUCAAACUAAGAAUGCCGGAGUAUUGAUGUAUGGGAGUCAGACAGUGUGAGAUAAAUCUCAUUGUCAAAAGGGAAACAGCCCAGAUCUACAGCUAAGGUCCCAAAUUGUAUCUAAGUGGAAAACGAUGUGGAAAUACGCAGACAACCAGGAUGUUGGCUCAGAAGCAGCCACUCAUUUAAAGAGUGCGUAAUAGCUCACUGGUCGAGCGUCUCUGCGCGGAAAAUUUAACGGGGCUAAGAUACAAACCGAAGCUUAGGCUGCAACGUAAGUUGCGGGGUAGGGGAGCGUUGUGUAAGCGGAGAAACAGUAGCGGAAGCGGCUGUGGAGUUUACAGAAGUGAGAAUGCCGGAAUGAGUAGCGCGAAUGAUGUGAGAAUCAUCAUGGCCGAAAGCCUCAGGUUUUUGGAGGAAGGUUCGUCCGCUCCAAGUUAGGCGGGAGCUAAGGUCAGGCCGAAAGGCGUAGCCGAUGCACAGACGGUAGAGAUUCCGUCCCCACCGAAAGAUUUAAGCACAGGGACACUUUUUGAAGGUCGGAGCCAGGUGUUGGUUCUGGUAGUGAUCGAGGGAAAUAUAGUACCGAAGUCCGGCUGGAAGAGAGGCGAGAAAAGCUGUGUGUAUAUCUAAGGUGCCCGUACCGCAAACCGACACAGGUAGGUAGGAAGAAGAUUCUAAGGCCAACGGGAGAAGGGUUGUUAAGGAACUCGGCAAGUUGACCCCGUAACUUCGGAAUAAGGGGUGCUCACGAGAGUGAGCCGCAGAGAAUAGGCCCAGGCAACUGUUUACCAAAAACACAGGUUUGUGCUAAAUCGAAAGAUGACGUAUACGAGCUGACGCCUGCCCGGUGCUGGAAGGUUAAAAGGAGAUGUGCAAGCAUUGAAUUGAAGCCCCAGUGAACGGCGGCCGUAACUAUAACGGUCCUAAGGUAGCGAAAUUCCUUGUCAGGUAAGUUCUGACCCGCAUGAAAGGCGUAAUGAUCUGGGCACUGUCUCAACAGCCCGC